Molecule: ribosomal RNA, 447 nt
Filed under: uncultured bacterium
Lineage: Bacteria
Description: bacterial SSU rRNA
Rfam family: Bacterial small subunit ribosomal RNA
Source: RNAcentral
UCCAGACUCCUACGGGAGGCAGCAGUGGGGAAUAUUGCACAAUGGGGGAAACCCUGAUGCAGCAACGCCGCGUGAGUGAAGAAGUAUUUCGGUAUGUAAAGCUCUAUCAGCAGGGAAGAGAAUGACGGUACCUGACUAAGAAGCCCCGGCUAACUACGUGCCAGCAGCCGCGGUAAUACGUAGGGGGCGAGCGUUAUCCGGAUUCACUGGGUGUAAAGGGAGCGUAGACGGCCGUGCAAGCCAGGAGUGAAAGCCCGGGGCCCAACCCCGGGACUGCUCUUGAAACUGUGCGGCUGGAGUGCGGGAGGGGCAGGCGGAAUUCCUGGUGUAGCGGUGAAAUGCGUAGAUAUCAGGAGGAACACCGGCGGCGAAGGCGGCCUGCUGGACCGCGACUGACGUUGAGGCUCGAAAGCGUGGGGAGCGAACAGGAUUAGAUACCCCAGUAAC